Molecule: long non-coding RNA, 2972 nt
Organism: Cephus cinctus (wheat stem sawfly)
Lineage: Eukaryota; Metazoa; Arthropoda; Insecta; Hymenoptera; Cephidae
Exons: 3
Source: RefSeq, a predicted model, not a curated record
CAUAUGUAUGUCAUGUUAUUCCACCUGGUAACCCUAUCUUUCUUUUCAUCAAAAGUAUUGUUACACGUUUUUCAAUUAGAUGAGUCAAUGUUGGGAAGAUUUCUUUAUUAAUUUCCCUUUAUCCCAUAGUUACAUAUUCGAUCGAACAAUCAACGAAAGGCCUGGGUCUCAGAUUAUUUUUAUAUUUCCUAUACUCACUACUAGUGCGAGAGAGACAUACCUACAAGACUUUACAUGAAUAAGAGAAAGACAACGAUAACAAAAUAUGUCUCAAGUUAAACGAUCCUCUUUCUGGUGGAAUUUUUAAUUUCCGUAACUUAUAGCUCUAUUACCCGGGAAGAAAAUAAAUCUUAAAACGUUUAAAAGAAAAUGUUUCCACGUACGUAGAUUGAGAAUGGUAUUCUCACGUGGCAAUACUUUGCUAACUUUGUUACUUUCUUUAGCUCAUUCUUCAUCUUUGUUUAUGAAGAUUUAUGACCAAGCAUUACGGAUUACGAAGUGCCCCUGCUUUUCGGCCCUCGAAAAGUUUCAUAUCUCUUUUCUGUACUCUCUUACCUUUUUACAGAGGGUUAUCAAGGAAGACUACAGUAGCAUUAUUGUCCCUCAUUUCAUUUGACAUUCAAAUAAAACAUCGGAGCUCGCAGGUUAGCACAGGGAUCUACAGUAUCAUCCUAUCUUGGUGAAACAGAACUACCUCGAUUUCUUUGUAGUACGGUGGCGCGACACAAAGAAAGGUAAGCAAAAAUAGAGUAACUUUAGUCUUAUAAUUGAAAAGUCAUGGUAAUAUUACUGUAUACAUUAAACACCGUAAAAAAUGUUACUCUCCGUCGCGUUAUCUUUACGUAUAAUUAAUAUGUUUUGUACUUCGUAUUUGCUCAUAUUCAUUCUUAAUAACCAUCCUUGGCUUUGUACAACCGGUCAUUUCUGGUUGGGUCUGUUUGAUUUCACUUUGAAAUUGUACAUCAUCAGCUAUUCAUUUCAUGAAUUAAUUAACACAGCUCUUGUUUCUCUUGGCUAAGGCAGACAAAGUAACACUCCAUAUUACAUUAGAUAUGGACAAACUAGAUACAAUCUAACUAGCAUAUAAAACUUGUUUUUUUUUUUUUCAUUUAAAGGUGUCUUGUACAAAUUUAAAAUUUUUCAUUUCCUUCUCAUUCUUCCCAUUUUAUUAUCCUGCAUUUUAUAACAGCUAAGUGGUUGGUUUUCUUAUACAGGUACGUCUAAAUAUUUCAAAAUUCAUUAUUAACCCCCGAAACUUUUGUUACAGCAGAUCUACAUUAAAUCAGCUUUCCACUGUAAUUCCAGUGAAAUAAUGUGCUCGAUAUUUUCCAGGUAGCCAAAGGACGGCUGCUGAUUUUCUCUCGGAGGAAAUAGAAAGAGAGGGAUUUCGGUAGCGAGUCGUGACGUCAGUUAAUACAAGUUUGAAAAUUGACGCGGAGUCUUCUGACGUGACAGCAAGAUUUGAAGUCCUGAAAAUUUAGAGGUCAGAGGAUAAUCCGGAUCGCGUCUAAAUAAAUUAGUCCGUGGAAUCAGUGCGAAUAGCGAUGGAAAUUGAGUUUGUACUUACAUUCAACUUUCACAGAGUCGGGAAGACCUUCCCAGUGAUCCUUCCCGUUACGAUUUAAGUUUCGGGAGGCCUGGGCAUCGGGGGGCUGAGUUCAGAAUAAAUAAAUUAUCAGGGGCGAAACAGCAGAGGCACUUUUAACAAUGUGUCUUCGUUUAAAAAAGAAGAGGUGCUGCGUAGGGUUAGGGAUGCAAUUAGGUGGGUCCUCCCAUUAUUACAUCCCCAGAGAGCUGAUUUACUCUCCUUCUUCUUCGUUCAGGAUAAAAAAGGAAGACGCUUAUUCCUUCAGGACAAAACACAAGGUAAGAACGCCCACUUAUAUUCUUAGCGUGAAUCGAUGCAUCUGCCAUUCCUUUAAGACAAUAUAAGCACGUGCUGAAAAUUACUAGAUGGUAAAAAUAAUUUCAAAAAUAUUAACUAUGACGUACGCAGUUUGUUCUUAAAAACUGUCAUGGCGGCUGGUUAACGACAUAAUAAGCAUUGAAUGAAUUUAUUACAGACAGGCUGCAUCGAGCUGUCUGACACGAAAGUUAAAUAAAUCAUAUUCUGUUUGCCUUUAUUCCUGUCGGACCUGCUGAUUUACCGCUUCAACUUUAAUAUCGAAGUAUCGGCGUGUUUUAAUAUGCCUGCCACGUUGUUUAUACUUCAACGUCUCGCAGGGACGUGUCGAUUAUGCACGGCGAAACCAUUAUCGAAUGGGUUGAAGAAUUAAGCAUCGCAGACCCUCGGAGCUAUCCAAUCGAAACGCACUCCCUUAGAAUCCGUAAGGUAAACAGAAAAGGGAGUCAGAGGGCUCUUGAAACAAUGCCAGGAAAGUGCUCCUUGUUUUUAAAGUCUUAAAGCGCAGUAGAUAAGUAUACAUAUACACACAGGUUAUACCUCCACUACCCGAUCCUAGCCAACUUUCAUCCCUUAUACGUCCGUACUUCCUCACAUUCCCUCGUACCCUCUUCAUCCCUUCUUCAGUUCGCCCUAUUCUCUUGUCCCUUGAAUACGUCAACUUGGACCCUUCUCCAUAUUUACCGUCCUGUUGGUAAACCUACGUGUACGUGGAUAGAGAGAACAUGCUUGACAGAUAUAGAUAUAGGUUAGAAUGACGCAACAGCAGGAGGACGUAACUGUAACCAUGCUUGUGACAUAUUUUCCCAGCAAUCCCAUUAAACAAAAUAUAUAUUCUUCCUCAAUGGCCGCGUUAACGGGCUUUUACACGAAAAUUACCUACAGCCUGGGGUGUAGCGUUACAUGGAUAUUACGAUCGUUGAGAUUGUACAGUAAGGCAUUUUUUUAAUGUCAAAAAAUAUGUCCAAUAAAAUUUUCGUCGUGUGUUCCUAAAUGAGAGAACUGUGUUUAAAGGGCUUUGAAUUAUUUACGCUUUCUAUGCUUUUAUCCUCUAUUCGAAAUGGAUGCC